Molecule: ribosomal RNA, 471 nt
Filed under: uncultured bacterium
Lineage: Bacteria
Description: bacterial SSU rRNA
Rfam family: Bacterial small subunit ribosomal RNA
Source: RNAcentral
ACUCCUACGGGAGGCAGCAGUGGGGAAUAUUGCACAAUGGGCGCAAGCCUGAUGCAGCCAUGCCGCGUGUAUGAAGAAGGCCUUCGGGUUGUAAAGUACUUUCAGCAGUGAGGAAGGUGGGUAUGUUAAUAGCAUACUCAUUUGACGUUAGCUGCAGAAGAAGCACCGGCUAACUCCGUGCCAGCAGCCGCGGUAAUACGGAGGGUGCGAGCGUUAAUCGGAAUUACUGGGCGUAAAGCGCAUGCAGGUGGUUUGUUAAGUCAGAUGUGAAAGCCCGGGGCUCAACCUCGGAAUUGCAUUUGAAACUGGCAAACUAGAGUACUGUAGAGGGGGGUAGAAUUUCAGGUGUAGCGGUGAAAUGCGUAGAGAUCUGAAGGAUACCGGUGGCGAAGGCGGCCCCCUGGACAGAUACUGACACUCAGAUGCGAAAGCGUGGGGAGCAAACGAGGAUUAGAUACCCUGGUAGCGUAG